This 630-nucleotide ribosomal RNA is filed under the name Bacillus altitudinis. Its description in RNAcentral is "bacterial SSU rRNA". It matches the Rfam family "Bacterial small subunit ribosomal RNA", at positions 117 to 733 of the family's 1533-position model. Lineage: Bacteria; Bacillati; Bacillota; Bacilli; Caryophanales; Bacillaceae. The record is from RNAcentral.
GUGGGUAACCUGCCUGUAAGACUGGGAUAACUCCGGGAAACCGGAGCUAAUACCGGAUAGUUCCUUGAACCGCAUGGUUCAAGGAUGAAAGACGGUUUCGGCUGUCACUUACAGAUGGACCCGCGGCGCAUUAGCUAGUUGGUGAGGUAACGGCUCACCAAGGCGACGAUGCGUAGCCGACCUGAGAGGGUGAUCGGCCACACUGGGACUGAGACACGGCCCAGACUCCUACGGGAGGCAGCAGUAGGGAAUCUUCCGCAAUGGACGAAAGUCUGACGGAGCAACGCCGCGUGAGUGAUGAAGGUUUUCGGAUCGUAAAGCUCUGUUGUUAGGGAAGAACAAGUGCAAGAGUAACUGCUUGCACCUUGACGGUACCUAACCAGAAAGCCACGGCUAACUACGUGCCAGCAGCCGCGGUAAUACGUAGGUGGCAAGCGUUGUCCGGAAUUAUUGGGCGUAAAGGGCUCGCAGGCGGUUUCUUAAGUCUGAUGUGAAAGCCCCCGGCUCAACCGGGGAGGGUCAUUGGAAACUGGGAAACUUGAGUGCAGAAGAGGAGAGUGGAAUUCCACGUGUAGCGGUGAAAUGCGUAGAGAUGUGGAGGAACACCAGUGGCGAAGGCGACUCUCUGGU